This 77-nucleotide transfer RNA is filed under the name Bacteroidia bacterium. RNAcentral's name for it is "tRNA-Met". It matches the Rfam family "tRNA". From Rfam's summary of the family: Transfer RNA (tRNA) molecules are approximately 80 nucleotides in length. Their secondary structure includes four short double-helical elements and three loops (D, anti-codon, and T loops). Further hydrogen bonds mediate the characteristic L-shaped molecular structure. tRNAs have two regions of fundamental functional importance: the anti-codon, which is responsible for specific mRNA codon recognition, and the 3' end, to which the tRNAs corresponding amino acid is attached (by aminoacyl-tRNA synthetases). tRNAs cope with the degeneracy of the genetic code in two manners: having more than one tRNA (with a specific anti-codon) for a particular amino acid; and 'wobble' base-pairing, i.e. permitting non-standard base-pairing at the 3rd anti-codon position. Lineage: Bacteria; Pseudomonadati; Bacteroidota; Bacteroidia. The record is from RNAcentral.
GGGCCCAUAGCUCAGCUGGUUAGAGCACCUGACUCAUAAUCAGGGGGUCCUAGGUUCAAGCCCUAGUGGGCCCACUA